UACGUAGGGAGCAAGCGUUGUCCGGAAUCACUGGGCGUAAAGGGUGCGUAGGCGGGUCUUUAAGUCAGGGGGGAAAUCCUGGAGCUCAACUCCAGAACUGCCUUUGAUACUGAGGAUCUUGAGUUCGGGAGAGGUGAGUGGAACUGCGAGUGUAGAGGUGAAAUUCGUAGAUAUUCGCAAGAACACCAGUGGCGAAGGCGGCUCACUGGCCCGAUACUGACGCUGAGGCACGAAAGCGUGGGGAGCAAACAGG
RNAcentral lists this ribosomal RNA (253 nucleotides) under uncultured bacterium. RNAcentral describes it as "partial 16S ribosomal RNA". It matches the Rfam family "Bacterial small subunit ribosomal RNA", at positions 524 to 776 of the family's 1533-position model. The record is from RNAcentral.